This is a long non-coding RNA of Engraulis encrasicolus (European anchovy), 278 nucleotides long. RefSeq lists it as uncharacterized. The transcript is spliced from 3 exons. Lineage: Eukaryota; Metazoa; Chordata; Actinopteri; Clupeiformes; Engraulidae. The record is from RefSeq and is a predicted model, not a curated record.
CUCCCACAAAAGAGUAGACCUUCCUGGGUGCUGUCGCCGGUGGUCCUCCUCCUGGCUCCCGUGUCUGUGGCCUGCCCUGUCAGUCUGAAUGACAGCUGUUCAUGCUGACUCUUGGAGUGCACCUGGUCUUUCCAUCGGGGACAGAUCUCACCAUUUGACGUGGGCUGUCUUGACAGGCUAAUAACAGUGGGAUGACGGUGCGGUUGGUCUCCUGCAGCCAGCUGCCGUAGCGGGUGGGCAGGUAGUCCAGGCCGCCGUAGAUGCCCUGACUCAUGGCC